Triticum aestivum (bread wheat) is the source of this 126-nucleotide non-coding RNA. Lineage: Eukaryota; Viridiplantae; Streptophyta; Magnoliopsida; Poales; Poaceae. The record is from Rfam.
AAAGUACUUCCUCCGUUCGAAAAAGCUUGUUCCAAGCUUGUUCCUCAAAUGGAUGUAUCUCGCACUAACUUUGUGCUAGAUACAUCCAUUUGAGGGACAUGUUUUUUCGGACGGAUGGAGUAGAAG